This is a small nucleolar RNA of Sorex araneus (European shrew), 130 nucleotides long. Its record names the gene SNORA72. It matches the Rfam family "Small nucleolar RNA SNORA72". Rfam says of the family: U72 is a member of the H/ACA class of snoRNAs. The snoRNA gene is located in intron 4 of the ribosomal L30 protein gene in human, mouse and chicken. The record is from Ensembl. NCBI's taxonomy places the organism in Eukaryota, Metazoa, Chordata, Mammalia, Eulipotyphla, Soricidae.
CUGUGAAUAUUUUCAUAGUUCGUCUUCAGUAUAAAUCGGUCAGGCUAAGCACUCAUGAUGGUAUAUGCAGACAGAUGUUCCCAGGACUAGUUCUUUCCCCAGAUCCGUUUUAUAAUUGUUGCUGAUAAGC